RNAcentral lists this ribosomal RNA (301 nucleotides) under uncultured bacterium. RNAcentral's name for it is "partial 16S ribosomal RNA". It matches the Rfam family "Bacterial small subunit ribosomal RNA", at positions 509 to 809 of the family's 1533-position model. The record is from RNAcentral.
CAGCAGCCACGGGAACACGGAGGGUGCAAGCGUUAUCCGGAUUUAUUGGGUUUAAAGGGUCCGUAGGCGGAUCUGUAAGUCAGUGGUGAAAUCUCACAGCUUAACUGUGAAACUGCCAUUGAUACUGCAGGUCUUGAGUAAAUUUGAAGUGGCUGGAAUAAGUAGUGUAGCGGUGAAAUGCAUAGAUAUUACUUAGAACACCAAUUGCGAAGGCAGGUCACUAAGAUUUAACUGACGCUGAUGGACGAAAGCGUGGGGAGCGAACAGGAUUAGAUACCCCCGUAGUCCCUGUCUCUUAUAA